UACGAAGGGGGCUAGCGUUGCUCGGAAUCACUGGGCGUAAAGCGCACGUAGGCGGACUCUUAAGUCGGUGGUGAAAUCCUGGAGCUCAACUCCAGAACUGCCUCCGAUACUGCGAGUCUCCGAGUCCGGGAGAGGUGAGUGGAACUGCGAGUGUAGAGGUGAAAUUCGUAGAUAUUCGCAAGAACACCAGUGGCGAAGGCGGCUCACUGGCCCGAUACUGACGCUGAGGCGCGAAAGCGUGGGGAGCAAACGGG
This 254-nucleotide ribosomal RNA is filed under the name uncultured bacterium. RNAcentral's name for it is "partial 16S ribosomal RNA". It matches the Rfam family "Bacterial small subunit ribosomal RNA", at positions 524 to 776 of the family's 1533-position model. The record is from RNAcentral.